Molecule: ribosomal RNA, 393 nt
Filed under: uncultured bacterium
Lineage: Bacteria
Description: partial 16S ribosomal RNA
Rfam family: Bacterial small subunit ribosomal RNA
Source: RNAcentral
AUACGUAGGUGGCGAGCGUUAUCCGGAAUUACUGGGUGUAAAGGGUGUGUAGGCGGGAAGGCAAGUCGGAUGUGAAAAUUAUGGGCUCAACCCAUAAAGUGCGACCGAAACUGUUUUUCUUGAGGAUCGGAGAGGUAAUGAGAAUUUCCGGUGUAGCGGUGAAAUGCGUAGAUAUUAGGAGGAAUACCUGUGGCGAAGGCGACUCUCUGGACUGAUACUGACGCUGAGGCACGAAAGCGUGGGGAGCAAACAGGAUUAGAUACCCUGGUAGUCCACGCUAUAAACGAUGAGUGCUAGGUGUCGGGGGUCAAACCUCGGUGCCGCAGUUAACACAUUAAGCACUCCGCCUGGGGAGUACGGCCGCAAGGCUGAAACUCAAAGGAAUUGACGGGG